Podarcis lilfordi (Lilford's wall lizard) is the source of this 83-nucleotide non-coding RNA. The record is from the annotation of a GenBank genome assembly. Lineage: Eukaryota; Metazoa; Chordata; Lepidosauria; Squamata; Lacertidae.
GCCCAUACAUAGUUCAGUGGGAGGACAUCUGCUUUGCAUGUAGAAGGUACCAAGUUCAACCCCUGGCGUCUCUCGGUAGGGCU